RNAcentral lists this ribosomal RNA (497 nucleotides) under uncultured bacterium. RNAcentral's name for it is "partial 16S ribosomal RNA". It matches the Rfam family "Bacterial small subunit ribosomal RNA", at positions 28 to 507 of the family's 1533-position model. The record is from RNAcentral.
GAUGAACGCUGGCGGCGUGCCUAAUACAUGCAAGUCGAGCGAACAGACGAGGAGCUUGCUCCUCUGACGUUAGCGGCGGACGGGUGAGUAACACGUGGAUAACCUACCUAUAAGACUGGGAUAACUUCGGGAAACCGGAGCUAAUACCGGAUAAUAUAUUGAACCGCAUGGUUCAAUAGUGAAAGACGGUUUUGCUGUCUCUUAUAGAUGGAUCUGCGCCGCUUUAGCUAGUUGGUAAGUUAACGGCUUACCAAGGCAACGAUGCGUAGCCGACGUGCGAGAGUGAUCGGCCACACUGGAACUGAGACACGGUCCAGGCUACUACGGGAGGCAGCAGUAGGGAAUCUUCCGCAAUGGGGGAAAGCCUGACGGAGCAGCGCCGCGUGAGUGAUAGAGGUCUUCGGAGCGUAAAACUCGGUUAUUAGGGAAGAACAAAUGUGUAAGUAACUAUACACGUCUUGACGGUAACUAAUCAGAAAGCCACGGCUAACUACGUG